Molecule: ribosomal RNA, 460 nt
Filed under: uncultured bacterium
Lineage: Bacteria
Description: partial 16S ribosomal RNA
Rfam family: Bacterial small subunit ribosomal RNA
Source: RNAcentral
CCUACGGGUGGCAGCAGUGAGGAAUAUUGGUCAAUGGACGCAAGUCUGAACCAGCCAUGCCGCGUGCAGGAAGACGGCUCUAUGAGUUGUAAACUGCUUUUGUACGAGGGUAAACGCAGAUACGUGUAUCUGUCUGCCAGUCUCGUUCGAUUACGGCUCGGCUAACUCCGUGCCAGCGGCCGCGGUAAUACGGAGGAUCCAAGCGUUAUCCGGAUUUAUUGGGUUUAAAGGGUGCGUAGGCGGUGGGAUAAGUUAGAGGUGAAAUCCCGAGGCUCAACGUCGGAAUUGCCUUUGAUACUGUGCGGCUAGAGAGUAGUUGCGGUAGGCGGAAUGUAUGGUGUAGCGGUGAAAUGCUUAGAGAUCAUACAGAACACCGAUUGCGAAGGCAGCUUACCAAGCUACGACUGACGUUGAGGCACGAAAGCGUGGGGAGCAAACAGGAUUAGAUACCCGAGUAGUC